This 72-nucleotide transfer RNA is filed under the name Anaerolineae bacterium. RNAcentral describes it as "tRNA-Gly". It matches the Rfam family "tRNA". From Rfam's summary of the family: Transfer RNA (tRNA) molecules are approximately 80 nucleotides in length. Their secondary structure includes four short double-helical elements and three loops (D, anti-codon, and T loops). The record is from RNAcentral. RNAcentral also lists the same sequence under 3 other names. Lineage: Bacteria; Bacillati; Chloroflexota; Anaerolineae.
GCGGGCGUAGUUCAGUGGUAGAACGUUUCCUUGCCAAGGAAAAGGUCGUGAGUUCGAAUCUCAUCGCCCGCU